Molecule: unclassified non-coding RNA, 244 nt
Filed under: Hevea brasiliensis (rubber tree)
Lineage: Eukaryota; Viridiplantae; Streptophyta; Magnoliopsida; Malpighiales; Euphorbiaceae
Source: RNAcentral
ACUUUUAUUUUUGGGAAUAAUUAUAUGUUCAACCGCUAUUGUCUGAGCCAAGAAUGUGAAUUGAGGAGUUGUAACAUAAUUUUGUGUUAAACCGCUAUUAUACGAGCCAAGCAUGUGAACUGAGGAGUUGUAACAAAAUUUAGUGUGUCUGCGACACUACUAGUUUUGUAUGGAAUAUGUUGUGUAUGCUUGCUGUAUUCUAUAAGCUUGUUUUAUACCAGAAAAGAGAGAGAAUCCAUUUCUG